This 253-nucleotide ribosomal RNA is filed under the name uncultured bacterium. RNAcentral's name for it is "partial 16S ribosomal RNA". It matches the Rfam family "Bacterial small subunit ribosomal RNA", at positions 524 to 776 of the family's 1533-position model. The record is from RNAcentral.
UACGUAGGGGGCAAGCGUUGUCCGGAUUUAUUGGGCGUAAAGAGCGUGUAGGCGGCUAGGUAGGUCCGUUGUGAAAACUCGAGGCUCAACCUCGAGACGCCGGUGGAAACCAUCUAGCUAGAGUCCGGAAGAGGAGAGUGGAAUUCCUGGUGUAGCGGUGAAAUGCGCAGAUAUCAGGAAGAACACCCGUGGCGAAGGCGGCUCUCUGGGACGUGACUGACGCUGAGACGCGAAAGCUAGGGGAGCAAACGGG